This 497-nucleotide ribosomal RNA is filed under the name uncultured bacterium. Its description in RNAcentral is "partial 16S ribosomal RNA". It matches the Rfam family "Bacterial small subunit ribosomal RNA", at positions 28 to 507 of the family's 1533-position model. The record is from RNAcentral.
GAUGAACGCUGGCGGCGUGCCUAAUACAUGCAAGUCGAGCGAACAGACGAGGAGCUUGCUCCUCUGACGUUAGCGGCGGACGGGUGAGUAACACGUGGAUAACCUACCUAUAAGACUGGGAUAACUUCGGGAAACCGGAGCUAAUACCGGAUAAUAUAUUGAACCGCAUGGUUCAAUAGUGAAAGACGGUUUUGCUGUCACUUAUAGAUGGAUCCGCGCCUCAUUAGCUAGUUGGUAAGGUAACGGCUUACCAAGGCAACGAUGCGUAGCCGACCUGAGAGGGUGAUCGGCCACACUGGAACUGAGACACGGUCCAGACUCCUACGGGAGGCAGCAGUAGGGAAUCUUCCGCAAUGGGCGAAAGCCUGACGGAGCAACGCCGCGUGAGUGAUGAAGGUCUUCGGAUCGUAAAACUCUGUUAUUAGGGAAGAACAAAUGUGUAAGUAACUAUGCACGUCUUGACGGUACCUAAUCAGAAAGCCACGGCUAACUACGUG